GAUGAACGCUGGCGGCGUGCCUAAUACAUGCAAGUCGAGCGAACGGACGAGAAGCUUGCUUCUCUGAUGUUAGCGGCGGACGGGUGAGUAACACGUGGAUAACCUACCUAUAAGACUGGGAUAACUUCGGGAAACCGGAGCUAAUACCGGAUAAUAUUUUGAACCGCAUGGUUCAAAAGUGAAAGACGGUCUUGCUGUCACUUAUAGAUGGAUCCGCGCUGCAUUAGCUAGUUGGUAAGGUAACGGCUUACCAAGGCAACGAUGCAUAGCCGACCUGAGAGGGUGAUCGGCCACACUGGAACUGAGACACGGUCCAGACUCCUACGGGAGGCAGCAGUAGGGAAUCUUCCGCAAUGGGCGAAAGCCUGACGGAGCAACGCCGCGUGAGUGAUGAAGGUCUUCGGAUCGUAAAACUCUGUUAUUAGGGAAGAACAUAUGUGUAAGUAACUGUGCACAUCUUGACGGUACCUAAUCAGAAAGCCACGGCUAACUACGUGCCAGCAGCCGCGGUAAUACGUAGGUGGCAAGCGUUAUCCGGAAUUAUUGGGCGUAAAGCGCGCGUAGGCGGUUUUUUAAGUCUGAUGUGAAAGCCCACGGCUCAACCGUGGAGGGUCAUUGGAAACUGGAAAACUUGAGUGCAGAAGAGGAAAGUGGAGUUCCAUGUGUAGCGGUGAAAUGCGCAGAGAUAUGGAGGAACACCAGUGGCGAAGGCGACUUUCUGGUCUGUAACUGACGCUGAUGUGCGAAAGCGUGGGGAUCAAACAGGAUUAGAUACCCUGGUAGUCCACGCCGUAAACGAUGAGUGCUAAGUGUUAGGGGGUUUCCGCCCCUUAGUGCUGCAGCUAACGCAUUAAGCACUCCGCCUGGGGAGUACGACCGCAAGGUUGAAACUCAAAGGAAUUGACGGGGACCCGCACAAGCGGUGGAGCAUGUGGUUUAAUUCGAAGCAACGCGAAGAACCUUACCAAAUCUUGACAUCCUUUGACAACUCUAGAGAUAGAGCCUUCCCCUUCGGGGGACAAAGUGACAGGUGGUGCAUGGUUGUCGCCAGCUCGUGUCGUGAGAUGUUGGGUUAAGUCCCGCAACGAGCGCAACCCUUAAGCUUAGUUGCCAUCAUUAAGUUGGGCACUCUAAGUUGACUGCCGGUGACAAACCGGAGGAAGGUGGGGAUGACGUCAAAUCAUCAUGCCCCUUAUGAUUUGGGCUACACACGUGCUACAAUGGACAAUACAAAGGGCAGCGAAACCGCGAGGUCAAGCAAAUCCCAUAAAGUUGUUCUCAGUUCGGAUUGUAGUCUGCAACUCGACUACAUGAAGCUGGAAUCGCUAGUAAUCGUAGAUCAGCAUGCUACGGUGAAUACGUUCCCGGGUCU
This 1372-nucleotide ribosomal RNA is filed under the name uncultured bacterium. Its description in RNAcentral is "bacterial SSU rRNA". It matches the Rfam family "Bacterial small subunit ribosomal RNA", at positions 28 to 1381 of the family's 1533-position model. The record is from RNAcentral.